CACGGUUGAACGAUGUGACGGU
Molecule: microRNA, 22 nt
Filed under: Apis mellifera (honey bee)
Lineage: Eukaryota; Metazoa; Arthropoda; Insecta; Hymenoptera; Apidae
Description: ame-miR-6054-3p
Source: miRBase by way of RNAcentral